UACGUAGGGUGCAAGCGUUGUCCGGAAUUAUUGGGCGUAAAGAGCUCGUAGGCGGUUUGUCGCGUCGAAUGUGAAAACCCGGGGCUCAACCCCGGGCCUGCAUUCGAUACGGGCAGACUAGAGUUCGGUAGGGGAGUCUGGAAUUCCUGGUGUAGCGGUGAAAUGCGCAGAUAUCAGGAGGAACACCGGUGGCGAAGGCGGGACUCUGGGCCGAUAUUGACGCUGAGGAGCGAAAGCGUGGGGGAGCGAACAGG
Molecule: ribosomal RNA, 254 nt
Filed under: uncultured bacterium
Lineage: Bacteria
Description: partial 16S ribosomal RNA
Rfam family: Bacterial small subunit ribosomal RNA
Source: RNAcentral